Molecule: ribosomal RNA, 563 nt
Filed under: Actinoplanes sp. 331F08
Lineage: Bacteria; Bacillati; Actinomycetota; Actinomycetes; Micromonosporales; Micromonosporaceae
Description: bacterial SSU rRNA
Rfam family: Bacterial small subunit ribosomal RNA
Source: RNAcentral
GAGCGGCGAACGGGUGAGUAACACGUGAGUAACCUGCCCCAGACUUUGGGAUAACCCUCGGAAACGGGGGCUAAUACCGAAUAUGACUUCUGGUCGCAUGACCGGGUGUGGAAAGUUUUUCGGUUUGGGAUGGACUCGCGGCCUAUCAGCUUGUUGGUGGGGUAAUGGCCUACCAAGGCGACGACGGGUAGCCGGCCUGAGAGGGCGACCGGCCACACUGGGACUGAGACACGGCCCAGACUCCUACGGGAGGCAGCAGUGGGGAAUAUUGCACAAUGGGCGGAAGCCUGAUGCAGCGACGCCGCGUGAGGGAUGACGGCCUUCGGGUUGUAAACCUCUUUCAGCAGGGACGAAGCGUAAGUGACGGUACCUGCAGAAGAAGCGCCGGCCAACUACGUGCCAGCAGCCGCGGUAAGACGUAGGGCGCGAGCGUUGUCCGGAUUUAUUGGGNGUAAAGAGCUCGUAGGCGGCUUGUCGCGUCGACUGUGAAAACUUGGGGCUCAACUCCAAGCUUGCAGUCGAUACGGGCAGGCUAGAGUUCGGUAGGGGAGACUGGAAUUCCU